Molecule: ribosomal RNA, 497 nt
Filed under: uncultured bacterium
Lineage: Bacteria
Description: partial 16S ribosomal RNA
Rfam family: Bacterial small subunit ribosomal RNA
Source: RNAcentral
GAUGAACGCUGGCGGCGUGCCUAAUACAUGCAAGUCGAGCGAACAGACGAGGAGCUUGCUCCUCUGACGUUAGCGGCGGACGGGUGAGUAACACGUGGAUAACCUACCUAUAAGACUGGGAUAACUUCGGGAAACCGGAGCUAAUACCGGAUAAUAUAUUGAACCGCAUGGUUCAAUAGUGAAAGACGGUUUUGCUGUCACUUAUAGAUGGAUCCGCGCCGCAUUAUCUAGUUGGUAAGGUAACGGCUUACCAAGGCAACGAUGCGUAGCCGACCUGAGAGGGUGAUCGGCCACACUGGAACUGAGACACGGUCCAGACUCCUACGGGAGGCAGCAGUAGGGACUCUUCCGCAAUGGGCGAAAGCCUGACGGAGCAACGCCGCGUGAAUGAUGAAGGUCUUCGGAUCGUAAAACUCUGUUAUUAGGGAAGAACAAAUGUGUAAGUAACUAUGCACGUCUUGACGGUACCUAAUCAGAAAGCCACGGCUAACUACGUG